Heterocephalus glaber (naked mole-rat) is the source of this 2506-nucleotide non-coding RNA. The record is from RefSeq and is a predicted model, not a curated record. NCBI's taxonomy places the organism in Eukaryota, Metazoa, Chordata, Mammalia, Rodentia, Bathyergidae.
UGAUUUAUAUAUCUUCUUGCAUAAGUGGAUCAAGAAACUUUAAGAUGGCUAAACUGGAGGAUACAGGAAAUGUAGGCAUACCAGUAGCCCACAAAAGUAUGGAAAAAAUGAACAUUUUUAUGAACUAUUAUUCUACAAGUAUAUGUCCAAGCUAAUCAAUUCAAAACCUUAUUUGAUAAGAAAUAAAUGAUAUAUUCUACUGAAAUGUUACCACAACUUUGUAUAUUUUGACAAAUCCAGGACAAAUUCUGACAAUGUCAGGACAGAUUGAAGAACACAAUGAAAUACUUGUAGUAUAAUGGUAUACCAUCAGCUUUGACAUUCAUCCUGUCGGGGUCGUGGCUUGCUGAGAUCACUUUCUCCAUCACUCGGCAUGUAUGUGUGUAUGGAUAGAUGCUGACUUUUCUAUUUCAGUUAUGGCCUUUGGAAGCAUAAUCUCACUUUGGAAAUCUUAACUGCCUGUCUUAUUAGACCUGUAUUCUGAUUUUCCCAUCGUAUUGUCCUAAUCAAAGGGGAAGAAAACCCAAAACCUAAAGUAAUCAUUUCCAAAGCAGAGCAUGAGGAUUCAGCUCCAUGCUAACUCUGCAUGAAUGUGUGUUUGGCUUUCUCAUGUUUACAUGUAAUUGAUUAUGUUUUCCUUUUGCUUUUUAGAAUCACCUGAGAAAUGUCUUCACCUGAAGCCCACCAUUGAAAUGAAAGAUUCUGUUCUGAAUAAAGCAGUAGCAGUGGAGGAUUUACAGACAUGCAAAUCAGAUUUUUCUGAUUGGAGUUCUACGAGUUUGAACCUCUCUGAUAAGACUUGUCAGAGAUCGGCAAAUUUGAAAGAUGAUGACAAAUAACCACUUACAACACGAUCAGUGACUAAAAAUCUGUCACCAUCCACAGAAUUCGGGUCUCUCUAUGCAGUCCAGGCUGGCCUUGAACUCAGUAUGUAGCCCAGGUUGGCCUUGAAUUUGUGGUGAUCCUCGUUUCUUGCUGGGCCUAGGGAGAUUAUUGAGAAUUGUAGCCCUUAACAGCAAAUCACAUAGCUACAGAUGGAAAAUGAUUCCUUUUCCAGAGCAGGAACGCAUGUGGAGGCCUACUGACUUCAUUCAUUGGAUCGAACUCGGGUCCUUGCACUUGCGUAGCAGAUGGCGAAACCACUGAGCUAAAUCCCCAGCCCUAUAAGACUAAACUCAGCUCACAACCUGAAUGAUCUGGGAAACAGACUCCUCUAGAGCUCCUGAAGAAAUGCAGCCUCCUGAGACUUGGAUCGAUGCAGAUGCUGUUGUCAUAAUUUGCUAGAACAGCAGUGGAAAACUUAUGCAGACCACUUCCUGUGCUGUCAUUAGUCUUUGGAGUUCUUGGACCUCAGGUUCCAGAAGACGCUGCUGCUGCUCACCUGCAGGCUGGGUGUUCAUGUCUCCAACCUACUUCACUCCUGAGUGCAGGAGCCACCGACAGCUACGGGGGACACAGCAGGUGGCCCACUAUUGGCUCUGGGGUGCACUUACACCCUGCCUAGGAUACUGCUGAGGGAGGAUCAGGACUCUGGGUUUCAUCCAGCUUCCUAUACUUAGUGAUUUUUUUUUUUUCUCUGAAAACUCUGGACACUGCUCUGGAAAAGACUGGUACCAACAGGAAAGAAACUGCUGCAUCUUCUUCAGUCCUCCUAUGACAGCACAGGUUUUCAUUUCUAUGAAAUGGAAAUGUGGUAAGCUGGUUGAUUAGACAAUGUACCUACCCAUAGGAGAAAAUCCGAGUUGCUUUCCAUCGACUCAUCAGAGCAGCAAAAAGUCCCAUGACCAAAGCAGAGCAAUCAAAGAGCAUGUGGAAUCCAUCUGAGAUCAGACCAAGACUAUUCGUCAACACACCAUAGAAUAAUUCCACAAAGAAAGAACUAUGACCCAUGGGCACAAGAGAAGCACAGAAACCACCUGGGAUAAAGCCUGAAGCCGUUUGGCUCCACCAACAUCUAUAGAGAGCUUUCUGGAAGCUGCAUGAAAACCAACUUUACAACACAAAGCCAGUACUAGCAACAGUACUCCACCCUAGUCGGAGACCCGGCAGAGGCUGCUGCACACCGUGAAGAAGGAGAGUAUUUUCAAUCCACUGGAGAUACAGAACCCUCAGAUGUAAAGGGCUGGAAACUGAUUGUGUUAUGCCUGUAAGGCAGAAACUAAUAUCACCCAUUUCACUGAUGGAAAAGCCAAAGCUCAGAAAAGGGACAGGAACUGCUCCAGAUCAUUCAUGAAGAAAGAAGGAACUCCUAAGCCACCAAGAAAGAUGGUGUGAAUCAUUAUUUGACAAUAUGUGAAAACACCGUGCAGUCUCUCAGGUGCUCGAUUGUCCAAGGGCUAUCAAAACUGAUAAUGGAACUACAGCACUCUGAAAAAAGAGACUGAAGAGGAUAUAAGAAAAUGGAAAUACAUCCCUUAGGAAGAACCCAUAUAGUGAAAAUGGCCAUACUUCCUGAACUACUAUAUAGAUUUAAUGCAAUGCCAAUUGAAAUUCCAACAGUGUACUU